This 422-nucleotide ribosomal RNA is filed under the name Babesia vogeli. RNAcentral describes it as "SSU rRNA". It matches the Rfam family "Eukaryotic small subunit ribosomal RNA", at positions 695 to 1119 of the family's 1831-position model. The record is from RNAcentral. Lineage: Eukaryota; Apicomplexa; Aconoidasida; Piroplasmida; Babesiidae.
GUGUUCGAGUUUGCCAUUCGUUUGGCCUUUUCGAGUUCGCUUUUGGGUUUUCCCUUUUUACUUUGAAAAAAUUAGAGUGUUUCAAGCAGACUUUUGUCUUGAAUACUUCAGCAUGGAAUAAUAGAGUAGGACUUUGGUUCUAUUUUGUUGGUUAUUGAACCUUAGUAAUGGUUAAUAGGAACGGUUGGGGGCAUUCGUAUUUAACUGUCAGAGGUGAAAUUCUUAGAUUUGUUAAAGACGAACUACUGCGAAAGCAUUUGCCAAGGGCGUUUCCAUUAAUCAAGAACGAAAGUUAGGGGAUCGAAGACGAUCAGAUAUCGUCGUAGUCCUAACCAUAAACCAUGCCGACUAGUGAUUGGAGGUCGUCGUUUUGCUGACCCCUUCAGGAACUUGAGAGAAAUCAAAGUCUUUGGGUUCUGGGG